GAUGAAGAACGCAUCGAAAUGCGAUACGUAAUGUGAAUUGCAGAAUUCAGUGAAUCAUCGAAUCUUUGAACGCACCUUGCGCCCUUUGGCUAUUCCAGAGGGCAUGCCUGUUUGAGUAUCAUGAACACCUCAACUCUCAUGGUUCUGCCAUGAUGAGCUUGGACUUUGGAGGUCUUGCUGGCCCCUGUGGUCAGCUCCUCUCAAAUGGAUCAGCUUGCCAGUGUUUGGUGGCAUCACAGGUGUGAUAACUAUCUACGCUUGUGGUUUUCCACCAGGUAACCUUCAGUGAUGGAGGUUCGCUGGAGCUCAUAAACGUCUCUCCUCAGCGAGGACAGCUUCUUGAACGUUUGAUCUCAAAUCAGGUAGGGCUACCCGCUGAACUUAAGCAUAUCAAUAAGCGGAGGA
RNAcentral lists this unclassified non-coding RNA (405 nucleotides) under soil metagenome. Its description in RNAcentral is "partial contains 5.8S ribosomal RNA, internal transcribed spacer 2, and large subunit ribosomal RNA". The stretch from base 1 to 121 matches the Rfam family "5.8S ribosomal RNA", at positions 35 to 154 of the family's 154-position model. The record is from RNAcentral.